GCCCGCCUAGCUCAAUCGGAUAGAGCGUCAGACUCUUAGGCGGGUUCAUUCACUGCGGUGAUCUGAAGGCUGCGAGUUCGACCCUCGCGGUGGGCU
This is a non-coding RNA of Hypsizygus marmoreus, 96 nucleotides long. Lineage: Eukaryota; Fungi; Basidiomycota; Agaricomycetes; Agaricales; Lyophyllaceae. The record is from Rfam.